RNAcentral lists this transfer RNA (73 nucleotides) under Basidiobolus ranarum. Its description in RNAcentral is "tRNA-Val". It matches the Rfam family "tRNA". Rfam says of the family: Transfer RNA (tRNA) molecules are approximately 80 nucleotides in length. Lineage: Eukaryota; Fungi; Basidiobolomycota; Basidiobolomycetes; Basidiobolales; Basidiobolaceae. RNAcentral also lists the same sequence under 1 other name. The record is from RNAcentral.
GCUUUCGUAGUGUAGUGGUUAUCACGUGUCCUUCACACGGACAAGGUCCUCGGUUCGAACCCGAGCGAAAGCA